RNAcentral lists this ribosomal RNA (1098 nucleotides) under Escherichia coli. RNAcentral describes it as "partial 23S ribosomal RNA". It matches the Rfam family "Bacterial large subunit ribosomal RNA", at positions 165 to 1303 of the family's 2925-position model. The record is from RNAcentral. Lineage: Bacteria; Pseudomonadati; Pseudomonadota; Gammaproteobacteria; Enterobacterales; Enterobacteriaceae.
CAUAGGUUAAUGAGGCGAACCGGGGGAACUGAAACAUCUAAGUACCCCGAGGAAAAGAAAUCAACCGAGAUUCCCCCAGUAGCGGCGAGCGAACGGGGAGCAGCCCAGAGCCUGAAUCAGUGUGUGUGUUAGUGGAAGCGUCUGGAAAGGCGCGCGAUACAGGGUGACAGCCCCGUACACAAAAAUGCACAUACUGUGAGCUCGAUGAGUAGGGCGGGACACGUGGUAUCCUGUCUGAAUAUGGGGGGACCAUCCUCCAAGGCUAAAUACUCCUGACUGACCGAUAGUGAACCAGUACCGUGAGGGAAAGGCGAAAAGAACCCCGGCGAGGGGAGUGAAAAAGAACCUGAAACCGUGUACGUACAAGCAGUGGGAGCCUCUUUAUGGGGUGACUGCGUACCUUUUGUAUAAUGGGUCAGCGACUUAUAUUCUGUAGCAAGGUUAACCGAAUAGGGGAGCCGAAGGGAAACCGAGUCUUAACUGGGCGUUAAGUUGCAGGGUAUAGACCCGAAACCCGGUGAUCUAGCCAUGGGCAGGUUGAAGGUUGGGUAACACUAACUGGAGGACCGAACCGACUAAUGUUGAAAAAUUAGCGGAUGACUUGUGGCUGGGGGUGAAAGGCCAAUCAAACCGGGAGAUAGCUGGUUCUCCCCGAAAGCUAUUUAGGUAGCGCCUCGUGAAUUCAUCUCCGGGGGUAGAGCACUGUUUCGGCAAGGGGGUCAUCCCGACUUACCAACCCGAUGCAAACUGCGAAUACCGGAGAAUGUUAUCACGGGAGACACACGGCGGGUGCUAACGUCCGUCGUGAAGAGGGAAACAACCCAGACCGCCAGCUAAGGUCCCAAAGUCAUGGUUAAGUGGGAAACGAUGUGGGAAGGCCCAGACAGCCAGGAUGUUGGCUUAGAAGCAGCCAUCAUUUAAAGAAAGCGUAAUAGCUCACUGGUCGAGUCGGCCUGCGCGGAAGAUGUAACGGGGCUAAACCAUGCACCGAAGCUGCGGCAGCGACACUAUGUGUUGUUGGGUAGGGGAGCGUUCUGUAAGCCUGCGAAGGUGUACUGUGAGGUAUGCUGGAGGUAUCAGAAGUGCGAAUGCUGACAU